CUCAGUGUCUUCAGUUUACAGUGUUGACUCUUCAGUCCAUCAGAGAGAAGCUUCACUCCUGAAUCCUUCAGUUUAUUGUUACUCAGGUCCAGCUCUCUCAGCACACAGUUUGAGGAUUGUAGAGCUGAAGACAAACUCUCACAAGAAUAAGCAGUGAGUGUUUACACUCAGACCUCAGUGUCUCCAGUUUACAGUGUUGACUCUUCAGUCCAUCAGAGAGCUUCUUCACUCCUGAAUCCUGCAGGUCAUUGUUACUCAGGUCCAGCUCUCUCAGCACACAGUUUGAGGAUUGUAGAACUGAAGACAAACUCUCACAGCACUGAACAGUGAGAUUACAGCCCUGAAGCCUUGCUCUUCUGGUGUUCUUGACCACUGGCAUCAGUCUCAUCAGUGCUUCAUCAGAUCUUCUGUACUUCUGCAGUUCAAACUUCUCUUGAGUCUCUUCUGACAUCAGGAGCACAAACACCAGACCCGACCACUGAGCAGAGGACAGAUCCUGUGAUGUGAGAUUUCCAGAGCUCAGACUCUUCUGGAGGUUCUCCACAAACUCAUCCUUCAGUUC
Non-coding RNA from Danio rerio (zebrafish), 562 nucleotides. The record is from Ensembl. Lineage: Eukaryota; Metazoa; Chordata; Actinopteri; Cypriniformes; Danionidae.